Long non-coding RNA from Gambusia affinis (western mosquitofish), 251 nucleotides. RefSeq lists it as uncharacterized. The transcript has 3 exons. The record is from RefSeq and is a predicted model, not a curated record. Lineage: Eukaryota; Metazoa; Chordata; Actinopteri; Cyprinodontiformes; Poeciliidae.
CAGAUACAGGCAGGAGAUAAAAGCAAAGACACGUCAGGUUUAGAGAAAAAUAGACUGGGAAAACAAGGUUUGACUGUGACAGGGGACAGUACCGUCUAGUAGGAGGAACUGAGCUUGUCCCAGCGCGCCGUCUCGUUGUCUGGCUGACAGCCGGUAGACCACGGAGCCAGAUGUGGCAUCAGGACCCACGGCGCCCAGGUGUGUCAACACACUGAGAGCAGGAGAGGGAGGGGCGAAAGGAAGGUGAGGAG